Molecule: non-coding RNA, 285 nt
Organism: Camelina sativa (false flax)
Lineage: Eukaryota; Viridiplantae; Streptophyta; Magnoliopsida; Brassicales; Brassicaceae
Source: RefSeq, a predicted model, not a curated record
UCUCAGUUUAUUUGUAACAGAUAUGAUUUUGUAUCAAGAUAUCCUGGCAAGACUAGAAGAAAAAAAACAAUCGAGGUAACAAUCGAAUCUCGCAUUAGAGUAGACUCUGCACAAUACGUCGCUGAGAAACAUGACUUCAAGAAGAGAUAUUUAUAGAACUGCCAAUGAGGAGGAAAUGAAAGAUCUUUGCCUCUGAGCUACACAAAGGACGAGAUAACUCUCUUAUUUAUAAGUCGUUUUGGUUGCCCACACUCGAUCACAAUUAAAAUCAACUUGAAGCACAAA